RNAcentral lists this ribosomal RNA (465 nucleotides) under Vreelandella stevensii. RNAcentral describes it as "partial 16S ribosomal RNA". It matches the Rfam family "Bacterial small subunit ribosomal RNA", at positions 338 to 795 of the family's 1533-position model. Lineage: Bacteria; Pseudomonadati; Pseudomonadota; Gammaproteobacteria; Oceanospirillales; Halomonadaceae. The record is from RNAcentral.
CCUACGGGGUGCAGCAGUGGGGAAUAUUAGACAAUGGGCGAAAGUCUGAUCCAGCCAUGCCGCGUGUGUGAAGAAGGCCUUCGGGUUGUAAAGCACUUUCAGUGGGGAAGAAAGCCUUGGGGCUAAUACCCUCGAGGAAGGACAUCACCCACAGAAGAAGCACCGGCUAACUCCGUGCCAGCAGCCGCGGUAAUACGGAGGGUGCGAGCGUUAAUCGGAAUUACUGGGCGUAAAGCGCGCGUAGGCGGUCUGAUAAGCCGGUUGUGAAAGCCCCGGGCUCAACCUGGGAACGGCAUCCGGAACUGUCAGGCUAGAGUGCAGGAGAGGAAGGUAGAAUUCCCGGUGUAGCGGUGAAAUGCGUAGAGAUCGGGAGGAAUACCAGUGGCGAAGGCGGCCUUCUGGACUGACACUGACGCUGAGGUGCGAAAGCGUGGGUAGCAAACAGGAUUAGAUACCCUUGUAGUC